AUCAACUUCUUUUACCUUUUUAUUUGGUUAGGUCAUCAGUGGAUGUCAUUAUUAGUUAUCAAGAAUACUAUUGGAUUUUAUAUCUUGACUUCAAUUUUUAAUGCUAUUGCUAAUGCUAAUCAUGUGUCUCCUCGCAUCAACUUCUUUUUAGCUUCUUAUUUGGUUUGGUCAUCAGUGGAUGUCAUUGUUAGCUGACGAGAAUACAUGGAUGGGCAUCUAGGUGCAAGUGGUUCUACAGGAAGAAGUGUCUUGCCCCAGUGUUUGUGGUUGGGGAAGAUGCAUCAGUUCCCAGGUCUUUUGACUAUAUAGAUAGUGGAUUUUCAGUUUCUCAAAGCUUUGUCAAAACAGGUGUGUAAUAGAAGUGCGUUAUAGAAGUUCUCAACUAUGAUAAUUCUUUCACAAGUGUGUUCUGCUGCCAGUCAGAUGCUCGUGUUCUUUGAUGAUCCGGAUGUCUUUUAUGGUGUUAUGGGCAUCAGAUAAAGUCAAAAGUCAAUUCUGGAUCUAGCUACUUGAUCUUCUCUGCUGUUUUCCCAUGGUUAUCAUGCCAACUUUGUUUUGUUUAGUGGUGAAUAAAUGUGUGGACCACACGGUGAUAGUAAUAGAGGAUUAGUUUUGGGAACUUCAAUGGCUUGUAUCCGGUAUUCAUUCCUGUGAACCUUGUUUCUUGGUCCUUUUGGUGCUUGCAACUCCAAGAUGGAUAUUGCUAGGCUUCGACCAAAAUUGGGGUUUUCGAUCUUGUCUCUUGCAUAUCUAGUGAUUUCUUAGGUGAUAUGGAUUUUGUCAGCUUUGUACUUAACUGGUCCCUUCUUCUUGUUCUUGUAGUUGGGUCUGACAAAGCAAUGAAUUAUUCUUUUGAUGGAGGGACAUUGUUU
This 872-nucleotide long non-coding RNA is filed under the name Solanum tuberosum (potato). RNAcentral's name for it is "long non-coding RNA (STUB_LNC007129)". Lineage: Eukaryota; Viridiplantae; Streptophyta; Magnoliopsida; Solanales; Solanaceae. The record is from RNAcentral.